RNAcentral lists this transfer RNA (88 nucleotides) under Paenibacillus paeoniae. It matches the Rfam family "tRNA". From Rfam's summary of the family: Transfer RNA (tRNA) molecules are approximately 80 nucleotides in length. Their secondary structure includes four short double-helical elements and three loops (D, anti-codon, and T loops). Lineage: Bacteria; Bacillati; Bacillota; Bacilli; Caryophanales; Paenibacillaceae. The record is from Rfam by way of RNAcentral.
AGAGAGGUGUCCGAGUGGUCGAAGGAGCACGAUUGGAAAUCGUGUAUACGUUAAUCGCGUAUCGAGGGUUCGAAUCCCUUCCUCUCUG